RNAcentral lists this ribosomal RNA (321 nucleotides) under uncultured bacterium. RNAcentral describes it as "bacterial SSU rRNA". It matches the Rfam family "Bacterial small subunit ribosomal RNA", at positions 27 to 339 of the family's 1533-position model. The record is from RNAcentral.
GAAUGAACGCUGGCGGCGCGCCUAAUACAUGCAAGUCGAGCGAGAAGACGUAGCAAUACGUUUGUAAAGCGGCGAACGGGUGAGGAAUACAUGGGUAACCUACCCUCGAGUGGGGAAUAACUAGCCGAAAGGUUAGCUAAUACCGCGUACGCUCCUUGGACUUCGGUUCAGGGAGGAAAGCGAUACCGUGGGUAUCGCGCUCUUGGUUGGGCUCAUGUCCUAUCAGCUUGUUGGUGAGGUAACGGCUCACCAAGGCUUCGACGGGUAGCUGGUCUGAGAGGACGAUCAGCCACACUGGCACUGCGACACGGGCCAGACUCC